AUUAAGCAUAGAAACAUACAAAUUAAAUCACAGAAACUGUACAGAUAUAAAUUCACAUAUCACAGACACAGAAAAUAAUAUUAAAAUAUUUUUUUAGACUCGAAUUUGUGGUCCCAAAACCACUAUUCCGACUAGGGUCAAAACCGGACAGUUACAAUUCUCCCCCCUUAGGGAUUUUCGUCUCCGAAAUUCUUACCGUUAAACAGAUUCGAAUAUUGUUGUUUCAUUGCAUCUUCAGGCUCCCAUGUAGCCUCUUCUACUCCAUGUCUAUGCCACAGUACUUUGACUAACGAAAUUAUUUUAUUACGUAAUUC
RNAcentral lists this long non-coding RNA (314 nucleotides) under Gossypium barbadense (sea-island cotton). Its description in RNAcentral is "long non-coding RNA (GBAR_LNC000635)". The record is from RNAcentral. Lineage: Eukaryota; Viridiplantae; Streptophyta; Magnoliopsida; Malvales; Malvaceae.